UCUCGGCUUAUCACCGGCAGUCCCCCUAGAGUGCCCAACUGAAUGAUGGCAACUAAGGGCGAGGGUUGCGCUCGUUGCGCCACCUAAGGCAACACCUCACGGCACGAGCUGACGACAGCCAUGCACCACCUGUGCGGGCUCCGAAGAGCACCGCGUUUCCACGGUUUCACCCCGCAUGUCAAGCCCAGGUAAGGUUCUUCGCGUUGCAUCGAAUUAAGCCACAUGCUCCGCCGCUUGUGCGGGCCCCCGUCAAUUUCUUUGAGUUUUAAUCUUGCGACCGUACUCCCCAGGCGGCGCGUUUAACGCGUUAGCUCCGGCACAGAAGGGGUCGAAUCCUCCCACACCAAACGCGCACCGUUUACUGCCAGGACUAC
RNAcentral lists this unclassified non-coding RNA (374 nucleotides) under uncultured bacterium. RNAcentral describes it as "contains 16S-23S intergenic spacer region". The record is from RNAcentral.